Molecule: ribosomal RNA, 315 nt
Filed under: uncultured archaeon
Lineage: Archaea
Description: bacterial SSU rRNA
Rfam family: Archaeal small subunit ribosomal RNA
Source: RNAcentral
UUUAGUCAGGCAACGAGCGAGACCCGUGCCCACUGUUGCCAGCAUGUCCUCCGGGAUGAUGGGUACUCUGUGGGGACCGCCGGUGUUAAAUCGGAGGAAGGUGCGGGCUACGAUAGGUCAGUAUGCCCCGAAUUUCCCGGGCUACACGCGGGCUACAAUGAAUGGGACAAUGGGUCCCUCCCCUGAAAAGGGCUGGUAAUCUCACAAACCCAUCCUUAGUUCGGAUCGAGGGCUGUAACUCGCCCUCGUGAAGCUGGAAUCCGUAGUAAUCGCGUUUCAAUAUAGCGCGGUGAAUACGUCCCUGCUCCUUGCACA